UGUCGCGUGGGAACCGUAAUUUUUCCGGGAUAUAAAGUUUCUAUGUCUUUUUCCAGGGCUCAAAAAAUCUCCAUACCACGUUUCAGCAAAAUCUGUUCAGCGGUUUGGGCGUGAAGAGGAUAAGAAUAAAACAGGAAAAGAAGAAGACAAACAAUGGAAUCAAACAAAAGAAGCGCUGAAGACUGGCCGGCAUCUACCAACAAAAGGGCAGCUACUUCUGAACAAAUACACUUGUUAAGUCCUGAGGAGGCACCUAAUAAUUUAAUGUUAAAUUGCUUAGGAGAGUCAACAGAGGAUAUCAUAGAAUAUAUAACCAAGGAGACUGAAAAAAUAAAAGUAUUUAAUGCUCUCGGUAAAGAAUGGAAAGAUGAGGUUUUGUGUAGUAUCAGGAAAGUAAUACAUAGAAGAUGUCAUGAUAUCAUGUUAAACAAAGUUGUUACAAGCAGAGAAGAUACUACAUUGCUCUAUUACAACACAUACCCAAAGGAGAAGGGACUUGAUGAAGAGAUUUUGGGGUUAUUGUUGAAUUCUUCAAAUAAUUCAUCUACUAUUUAUAGCCAUAGAAUAGACGAGUCUAUUGAGAAAUGUUUUAGAAAAAUCAUCACUGAUUUAAAAAGUUAUGAAGAUGAGAAUAUAUUGCAUGAUAAGCUACCUAGUGUAGAAGCUAUGGAAGACAAAAUUGAUGAAGUAGACAAAAACCUACACAAUGUAGAUGUAGAGAGGAAGGACACAGAGAAGGGAAAAGGUAUUGAAGAAACAAGUAAAGUCAUGGAUGUCAAUGAACAAGAUAGGAAGAAAUUAGAUAAAUAUUAUAAAAUGAUUGAUAAAUUGAUAGCACCAAAAAUUGUUGAUCUUCUAAACCGUCAUAGAAGUGAAUUUCAAGAAAUAUUAAAAAAUUAUAAAGAAUACUUAGAAGAAGAAGCGACAAUUAAAUUACAACUCAGGGAAGAGAUUGAAAAAAGUUUAAAAGAGGAGAAUAAACAAGAGAUAGAGAAUUAUCUCAGUAAUAAAAAUUAUAAUUAUGAAGAAAGAGAUUCAGAAAAGUAUGAUGAAGAUAAUUCAGAAACUGACAGUAUGAAUAAAGAAAUGUGUUUAGAUAAUGAUGAAGUGGACAGAGAAGUUAUUUCAGAAAAUGAUAGUGAAGAUAGUGAAAUGAAUUCAGAAAAUGAUAAUAAGAAUGAAGAGAAUUCAGAAAAUGAUAAUAUGAAUAAAGAUAAUUCAGAAAAUAAUAAUAUGAACGAAGAGAAUUCAGUAAUUGAUAAUAGCCGAACAGAAAAAGAAAGAGAUAAGCUAGUUCAGAGUGAUGCAAACGUGAACAGGCCUGAUCUAGAGUAUAGAGUAAAGCUCAUCAGUACGCCAGAUAUGCCAACCAAAGAGUUGAUGUUGGAAUUCUUAAAUCAAUUUAAUACAAAGACAAUAAAAAAACACAAAACAAUAAAGAAUUUACUUAUAAUAAAUUUGAAUACUGAAGAAGAUUACAAUAACAUAUUAAAGGCGAGCGGAACUAUAAUAGGCUCACAAAAGUUAUUAAUAAGUAGUGAAAAUAAAAGCAAUGUUAAUAAGAAUAAUGCGAAAAAUGGAAGUGACGACAGAUCCGAAGUUGAAACAGUGAAAGAGCCAAAUGACAAAACAAACGCCGACAGAGACAAAAAUGAUGACAUACGCAAAGAAGUUCAAGGUACAACAAACGAAAGAGAAGGGAAUAGUGAAAUAGAUGCGACGAAACAGAAAGUAAUAGUAAAGCAAGAACCAGAUGAGCUUAUUAAUGAUAGAAUAGUAAAGGUUAAGAAGGAGAUCGAUAGUGUAGAAGAAAUUGUAGAAAAAGAAGUAAACAUUAACACAUCACAUGUAGUGAAUACAGAUGCUUCGGAGUUUGUUGCUUGGGUAAAUGCAUCCCCUUUCUUUCCGAAAGAAAUAGCGGCGUUUAUAAAAGGGUAUAAUCCCACUGCAAUUAAAAAGCACAAAAAAGUUCCAAACGUUGUACUUGUUACUUUUAAAAAUAGGAGUGACUAUGAGAAUUUCUUGGUAAUGGAUGGACAUCAAAUUACUAAUGAUUGUACGGAGAUUAAGAUAACCGUUAUAGCACUGGAAGAUUUAAACUUAGAUUAUAAAGAUAUCACGGAUACUACAGAAGAUCAAUUUGAAGAGAUCAAUGACUUAACAGAUAAAGUUAUCAAAAAAGAAACUCAUGUUACUGUAACUAAUCCUCAUGCUGCCACUAAAAGAAAGCGGAAACAGCUGUCUGGGGCGGCUAAACGACGCAUAGAAUGGUGGAUGGCUAGAGGCAAAAGUCUCGAAGAAGCUAAAGAACUUUGUAAGAAACCCCUCAAAGAAUAUCCCGAAUAUACUGAAAAGAUACAAGCAUUUUUACCUUCAGAAGAUUCUACGGAGAUACAAAAUGUUAGCGAAGCAGAAAAGAUCACAGACACAGUCGAAGAUGAUUCUACUCAGGCUACUGAUUUGGAAAGGCCUGAAGAAAUCUCAGAGGCGUCUGCCAGUACUUCUAACGUUGGAUGCGAUCGCACUACUACUAGAAACACAAGACUAUUAUCUGGUGCUGCUAAAAGACGCAUAGGUUGGUGGAUGGCUCGAGGCAAAAACUUCGUCGAAGCAAAAGAACUUAGUAAGAAGCCGUUAAUGGAAUAUCAAGAAUAUAUUGCUGAGAAGGCUAAAGCAGCUAUUACUGUUUAUAAACUCAAUGUUGGGAACAUUGCUCGGCCUACUAAUAGUCAAGAUCCAGGAUCUAUUAUUAAUGGGCAAGAUUGUAGAACUACUAUUGAGGUUCUUCCUACACCAACUGUUGGUCAAGGAUCUAGCCUUGGACAAUUUGCUAUGCCCGCUUCUGAGCAAGUUACCAAGCUUACUGCUGGGCCAAUUGCUAAGACCGCUAGUGGCCAAGUCCCUAAUAUUGGCCAUGCCAAAUCUACUGGUAAUCUGACUACAUCCUCUAUUAGUCAGGUGUCUCAACCCACUAAUGAGAAAACAAUGAGGCUCACUAAUGGGCAAGUAACCAAACCAAAAGCAAAGAAGCGUAAAGUGUUCGAAGGGGCCCUAAACAUUGGUAUCUUAGACGCUUCAGGACCUAUGACUAAAGAAAGGGCUGAAGCCCUUAAGACCUGUAUUUUACGACUCAUAGAUGUAACUCCGCAGGGGGAAGGUCCCAAAUUCCUUCAAUGCUCACGAAAGUCCGGAGGAAUAAUGCUGACAUGUGCUGAAGAAGAAAUAACCAGAAAAUGGUUGGAGCGCGCUGUAACUCGAAUCCAACCCUGGGAUGGUGCAAAACUACGCAUAGUCGAAGCAUCGGAACUAAACCUUCGAUACGCGACAGCAUUAGUCCGAGACACGAUCAUAGAAGAGGACAAAAUACUCAGUCUCCUUCGAAAACAGAACGCUGGGUUGCAAAUACCGACUUGGAAAAUAGUGCACAGAAGGGCGCACGAGUUGGGCCAUAUUUAUACGUUCGCUUUCGAUGAGUCAGUAGUGGAUGUUCUUGCGGAGAGGGGGUUCAAGUUGUAUCUCGGAUUCCAUCAAAUUAGUCUUCGCUUGAUUGGACCUAAGCCAGCUCUUUCGCUCUAGUAUAAAAUAACCAGGGACCUCAAUAAAAUAUUAUAGAUAAAAACACUUACUUACACGCAGGGUUGGUAACAAAAUGAUUUUUUUGCCUCUAAUGGCAGACAUUGUAGGCGAAUCCUAAAACUACUUUAGAUAGCUAAAAUGCUGAAAGGAGUCCGUUAAAACACAGCUGAUUUUAAUAUACUAUUUGAUAGCUUUGCUGGAGAAAUAUUUUGGUGGUGAGAUUCUGGUGUUAUGUCAAUAAAUAUAACAGUAAUGAAAGACCCACGAGUUGAGGAAAAUCAUUCUAAC
This is an RNA transcript of Aricia agestis (brown argus), 3864 nucleotides long. It is a transcript of the gene named protein PFC0760c-like, with no coding region annotated. Lineage: Eukaryota; Metazoa; Arthropoda; Insecta; Lepidoptera; Lycaenidae. The record is from RefSeq and is a predicted model, not a curated record. The transcript has 10 exons.